This 646-nucleotide ribosomal RNA is filed under the name uncultured bacterium. Its description in RNAcentral is "bacterial SSU rRNA". It matches the Rfam family "Bacterial small subunit ribosomal RNA", at positions 108 to 750 of the family's 1533-position model. The record is from RNAcentral.
GAGUAAUGUCUGGGAAACUGCCCGAUGGAGGGGGAUAACUACUGGAAACGGUAGCUAAUACCGCAUAACGUCGCAAGACCAAAGUGGGGGACCUUCGGGCCUCACACCAUCGGAUGUGCCCAGAUGGGAUUAGCUAGUAGGUGGGGUAAUGGCUCACCUAGGCGACGAUCCCUAGCUGGUCUGAGAGGAUGACCAGCCACACUGGAACUGAGACACGGUCCAGACUCCUACGGGAGGCAGCAGUGGGGAAUAUUGCACAAUGGGCGCAAGCCUGAUGCAGCCAUGCCGCGUGUAUGAAGAAGGCCUUCGGGUUGUAAAGUACUUUCAGCGGGGAGGAAGGCGGUGAAGUUAAUAGCUUCACCGAUUGACGUUACCCGCAGAAGAAGCACCGGCUAACUCCGUGCCAGCAGCCGCGGUAAUACGGAGGGUGCAAGCGUUAAUCGGAAUUACUGGGCGUAAAGCGCACGCAGGCGGUCUGUCAAGUCGGAUGUGAAAUCCCCGGGCUUAACCUGGGAACUGCAUUCGAAACUGGCAGGCUAGAGUCUUGUAGAGGGGGGUAGAAUUCCAGGUGUAGCGGUGAAAUGCGUAGAGAUCUGGAGGAAUACCGGUGGCGAAGGCGGCCCCCUGGACAAAGACUGACGCUCAG